RNAcentral lists this long non-coding RNA (1398 nucleotides) under Mus pahari (shrew mouse). RNAcentral describes it as "predicted gene 42435 (MGP_PahariEiJ_G0002866.1)". Lineage: Eukaryota; Metazoa; Chordata; Mammalia; Rodentia; Muridae. The record is from RNAcentral.
GCAUGCAAACAGCAGCAGCAGCAGCAGCAACAACAACCCCCAGAUUCAGUAGGGUGUAUUUAUAUGUGCAUAUACAUACAAACAUAUAUACGCACACAUAUAUAUUGUAUGUGAAUAUAAUAAUAGCUGGAGAGCAGGGGUAUAUGGGAGGCACUGGAGGGAAAAAGAGGGCAGUGAUGUAAUUCUAUUUCCAUUAAAAUCUUUUUUUUUUUUAAAGUGUUGUUACCUAAAAAGACAUAGAGAACAGCACCAAGUGUCAGUUACCAAGAACUUACUGCAGGAAAGGGUUACUUUACAUGUGUUAUAUCAACUAACUCCCUAGCAUACCCUGCUGGGUAAACAUGAUUCCUAGUUUAGCGACAGGAACUGGCACUCGGUUAAAUGAAAAAUCAAAUAUCAGACUGUAAAACUAUGUAAUAAACAGCCAGUGCAGUGUCCAGUGGCAUAUACACAAGUUGAUUAUGUAUUUUGAGGAAAUACAUAAAAAUUAAGACCCCAGAGAAGUUUUCUUUUUUGAGAUAGGCUGGCUUCAAACUUGCUCAUAGCUGAAGGUGACCAUGAAUGCCUACCCGAUCCUCCUGCCUCUACCUAAGUGCUGAGGUUACAGGGUGUGACCCUGAUGUCCAUCUUGCCUGAAGAGAAAUUUAAAAACUUAAUAGUUUGUAUCGUGUCUCUUCAUCUCAGCUAAUUAACUAGGACCCCCUAAAAAGUGUUCAGUAGGCUACAAAAACUGCUUUUAAUCAUAUGGCAAUAGACACUGAAUACACUGCACAUGAAUGGGCACUUUAGAUUAUAUUGCUUUUAUGUGUUGAAAGUUUCAAAAGAUAUCUUACUUUUCUGCUUGUGGUGAGCGCCAUUAGACACUCUUCUUUAUUAAUUUGCCAGAAGGUACCGAAAGCAAACUGACUUCCAGGCAUCUUUGGUCACAGGGCAUCAAUAGUGUUUUUUGUGUAAAUGAUUUAUUGUGAAAGGUGACCCUGACACCAGAGAGCAGCAAGACCCCUUCCAGGGAGGGAGCUGCAAGCUGACACUGAGCUCUGUUGUGAAUGACAGCUCAGCAUCGAUGGCCCUGUCCCAAGGCUUCCCAGGCUCCUGCUUGCAGGUCCCUUAUUUGAGGAGAACCUUCUGGUUACAACAUCCAGAUAGAAGGAUGCCUCAGAGCAGAUGUGGUGCCAGCCUCACUGAGUCUGCUCUGACCACCAGGAGGACAACACCCAGGCUGGUCAGGUACCCCGUUCUGCUCUGCCCACGACUGGUGGCAAUCUGCAAGCACGGUGCCAACUCUGAAUGUCAACUCUCUUUAAUCAGCUCAAGGGUUCUGUGACUGUCCCAAAGUAACCUCGCCGAUACACUACCCUGUAACGGACGUGUUCACAAAUUAAAUGUGUUUUCCUUACU